Molecule: ribosomal RNA, 327 nt
Filed under: Triticum aestivum (bread wheat)
Lineage: Eukaryota; Viridiplantae; Streptophyta; Magnoliopsida; Poales; Poaceae
Description: partial small subunit ribosomal RNA
Source: RNAcentral
AUGGAUGGCCUAUUGUAUGCCUUCACGAGCUUUGGACAAAUCGAUACAUUUGAUCUCCAUAGUCCUACCAUUACAAGGAAUAGAAUUAUAAGCGACAUGAAGACUUAUACUCUAGGGCAGCUGUACGUUCUCCAGGCUCCAUCCGGUGAUCUGCUGCAAGUUCACAGGAAUUCGGAAAUCCAAGAUACUGAUGAUGAUGAGGAGGAGGAGUUCAUAUUUGUGACUAACAACAUAUUGUUAUAUAAGGUUGACAUGGUAGCAAAAGAUCUUGUGUUAUUAAACGACUUGCAUGAUCAAGUGCUAUUUCUUGGGUGUAACCAGUCGUAA